CAGAAUCUAGAUGUGUUGAUGUGAGUAGUGACUGCAGUACCUUGGCUAGAAAUGUCUUGUAUCAGAUGCAGAGAACUCAGAUGUUUGAAGCCUGUCAUUUCUCCUGCCAGUUUUGCACACCUCAGCCACAGGUUGGAGGACCAGUAAAUGCUUCAGGAAGUAAUCAUUGUGAAGACAGAAAUAACUUGUAAAGAUGGGAACUAUGCUGAACGAUGCUCCAAAUUAGAUGACUGCUGAGGAACGUUCCAAUUUUGUGAAGAUUCUCGACUAUUCCGGAAUGGCUGAACCAGCAACAGUAGAGGCGCCAUUUUGUGGAGCCACAGUUAUCGAUCCAUACUAUCUGGUGAUGGCCACUAUCUUAGAUCCAACAUGACU
Macrobrachium nipponense is the source of this 375-nucleotide long non-coding RNA. RefSeq lists it as uncharacterized. NCBI's taxonomy places the organism in Eukaryota, Metazoa, Arthropoda, Malacostraca, Decapoda, Palaemonidae. The transcript has 3 exons. The record is from RefSeq and is a predicted model, not a curated record.